GUGGGGAAUAUUGGACAAUGGGCGCAAGCCUGAUCCAGCAAUGCCGCGUGGAUGAAGAAGGUUUUCGGAUUGUAAAGUCCUUUCGGCGGGGACGAUGAUGACGGUACCCGCAGAAGAAGCCCCGGCUAACUUCGUGCCAGCAGCCGCGGUAAUACGAAGGGGGCUAGCGUUGCUCGGAAUGACUGGGCGUAAAGGGCGCGUAGGCGGAUGGGACAGUCAGAUGUGAAAUUCCUGGGCUCAACCUGGGGGCUGCAUUUGAUACGGCUUGUCUAGAGUGAGGAAGAGGGUCGUGGAAUUCCCAGUGUAGAGGGGAAAUUCGUAGAUAUUGGGAAGAACACCGGUGGCGAAGGCGGCGACCUGGUCCUUUUACUGACGCUGAGGCGCGAAAGCGUGGGGAGCAAACAGG
This 406-nucleotide ribosomal RNA is filed under the name uncultured Acetobacteraceae bacterium. RNAcentral describes it as "bacterial SSU rRNA". It matches the Rfam family "Bacterial small subunit ribosomal RNA", at positions 354 to 776 of the family's 1533-position model. The record is from RNAcentral. Lineage: Bacteria; Pseudomonadati; Pseudomonadota; Alphaproteobacteria; Acetobacterales; Acetobacteraceae.